GACGAACGCUGGCGGCGUGCCUAACACAUGCAAGUCGAGCGAGUGAAUCUCCUUCGGGAGUGAAGCUAGCGGCGGACGGGUGAGUAACACGUGGGCAACCUGCCUCAUAGAGGGGAAUAGCCUUUCGAAAGGAAGAUUAAUACCGCAUAAGAUUGUAGCUUCGCAUGAAGUAGCAAUUAAAGGAGCAAUCCGCUAUGAGAUGGGCCCGCGGCGCAUUAGCUAGUUGGUGAGGUAACGGCUAACCAAGGCGACGAUGCGUAGCCGAACUUAGAGGGUGAUCGGCCACAUUGGGACUGAGAAACGGCCCAGACUCCUACGGGAGGCAGCAGUGGGGAAUAUUGCACAAUGGGGGAAACCUUGAUGCAGCAACGCCGCGUGAGUGAUGACGGCCUUCGGGUUGUAAAGCUCUGUCUUCAGGGACGAUAAUGACGGUACCUGAGGAGGAAGCCACGGCUAACUACGUGCCAGCAGCCGCGGUAA
This 480-nucleotide ribosomal RNA is filed under the name uncultured bacterium. Its description in RNAcentral is "partial 16S ribosomal RNA". It matches the Rfam family "Bacterial small subunit ribosomal RNA", at positions 28 to 523 of the family's 1533-position model. The record is from RNAcentral.